RNAcentral lists this long non-coding RNA (1223 nucleotides) under Homo sapiens (human). RNAcentral's name for it is "HSALNT0087069". Lineage: Eukaryota; Metazoa; Chordata; Mammalia; Primates; Hominidae. The record is from RNAcentral.
CAGAGUUAGUCGGUACAUGGCAGCGCUGGGUUGAAAAACCAGUGAUGGAUGCUUGAAGAAACUGGAUCAGUUUCUCGGGGUCUGUGGUGUUGGCCCAGGGUGCUGGCAUCAUCUGCCCAGGCCAGAGAAAGGGCACUUCCAGAGCCACUGGACUAUGGUAGAAGACCAGCACUUGAUAGUCCUUCUCCCACAGUGAACUGCCAUGUUGGAGAGGCCCAUGUGACACAGAGGUUGUAGUGGCCCUUGACCAAAACCAGCUGGGAGCAGAGGUCUUUAGACUAACAGCUCUGAAGGAACUGAAUCCUGUUAACAGCCAAUGAGUAAGCUUGGAAAUAAUCCUGCAUGAGUGAGAUCUUGAUUGCAGCCCUGUGAGAGAGACCGAAGCAGGGAACCCAGAAGGCCUCUGAUUUAGUCCACUGGAAUGAUUAGACUGGAGGAACUAAGUAAAAAUGACUUGGAUCAGAAAAUACUGGAGACAGAGAAACCAGUUAAAGCCUAUUGAUGUGCUGGUGAUUUGAGAUAUAGAGCAUCUCUGUGAAAUAAAACGUACUGAAAAACUUCAGCCCUCAGUGCUUCUCCCCAUGUUACAAGAUACUGGCAUCAGAAAAGACCACAAAAUGAAUACCAGUCUUUACUACUUCCUUGCUUUCCAAAUCCCUACUGGGAAGUAAGAUUUAGCAGUGUGAGAGUAAUUAAGCAGAAUACCUCCUUCCUCCAGAUACCAACACAGAUGCAUAAGAAGACAUAGCUGAAUUUUUGAGCAACAGAUGUUAACUUACAAAGGACAAGAUAAGCUGUACUGUGUUCUUUGCAACAGAAGUCAAAUAUCCCAACAUGAGAAGAGCCUCUGUGCAUAUAGGCAAAGAUAACCAACUGUAGCUAAAGGCUCCCGUGUACUUUCAGUACUCAAAAUAGUCAUGCAUAUGGGGAUUCUGUCAGUCAACACCAUAUCUGCUGUUGAUGUUGGUAACAGUGACCAUCAGAAACUUCAGGAAGUGAAAGAAGAUCUCCCAUAGAAAAGGAAACCAUGGUCAGAACACAGAGAAGAAUCCAAAAAGGACAUGUCUGUUGGCAAACAACUUGGGAGAGAACCAGAAGUGAACCCAGUUGCUUGUGUCAUUAUUUUGCCUUAGCCUCCAAGAGCCUGAACAGCCCAAGGAGGACAAGACAGUCUUGACCUAAGGGAAAGAUAUGCUUUAUUUACAAGAAAACAUUAAAAAAUC